CAUACUUUUUUAUUUUCAGCAGCUGGAGGAGAGACAGCCUGUGCAGCAACAACAAGACAACAAUGAUUAUAAGCAGGGAUAAUCUCCAGGUGGACUGCACGGGUCCAGGAUCAAGAGAUCAUUCAUCAUGCAGACCAUGUUCCAGGAGAAGCAGUGUAUCCUGGGUCUGCUUGAUCAUGUUGUUGUCCUGGAUGUGAGAACAUGGUCAAAAGGUGUGUCAAUCAGCAUCCAGACAUAAAAGCCGCCUUCUCGUUAAAAGGCUCAGGAGGACAAACAGCUGCCAGAGGAGGAUGAUGAUGGCAGUGGUGACCGAGGUGACUGUGCAGCUCAGGAUGAAGAAGAGGAGGAACAUUUUGCAAAAAUCCAAAGUGAAUAUAUAGAGACCAUCCUCCUAUCCUUGCCUCAGAAGAACCUGAGAAAGACCCUCUUCCUCUUCUCUCACAGCUCUCCAUCAUCUACCUCUAUACAACACUGUUGGCAAGAGUGUUAUACA
Molecule: long non-coding RNA, 493 nt
Organism: Megalobrama amblycephala (Wuchang bream)
Lineage: Eukaryota; Metazoa; Chordata; Actinopteri; Cypriniformes; Xenocyprididae
Exons: 5
Source: RefSeq, a predicted model, not a curated record